GCCACGGUGGUCUAGUGGUUAGAACGCUGGCCUUGUAAUCGUGGGGUCUCGGGUUCGAUUCCCGGCGGUGCCA
Molecule: transfer RNA, 73 nt
Filed under: Zootermopsis nevadensis
Lineage: Eukaryota; Metazoa; Arthropoda; Insecta; Blattodea; Termopsidae
Rfam family: tRNA
About the family: Transfer RNA (tRNA) molecules are approximately 80 nucleotides in length. Their secondary structure includes four short double-helical elements and three loops (D, anti-codon, and T loops).
Source: Rfam by way of RNAcentral